Molecule: long non-coding RNA, 1905 nt
Filed under: Triticum aestivum (bread wheat)
Lineage: Eukaryota; Viridiplantae; Streptophyta; Magnoliopsida; Poales; Poaceae
Description: long non-coding RNA (TAES_LNC001835)
Source: RNAcentral
AUAGGUGAUCUCAUUUCUUGGUUCAGUGAAGUGAUUAUGUGGAGCUUGUGAGGAAAAAAGAUAGGACAAGAAGCCUAGGAGGUUGUCUACAGCCACUGCCCUGGUAUGUGACCUGCUUGCAUCUUUUCCUGAUUACCUCACAACUGCAAUUGUCUAAGUUUUAUAUUAUCCAUCAUUUUAUCAGUUUAUUUCAUGAGUUUGUUUUCUCGAAUUUCAUGUAUGCGUUGAUGACCUGAAAUCUUAAUAUAUAUUUGUUUGACAGUGAGUGCUGCUGAACAUGUAAGUAUAGUCGGGAGAGUCAUGUACUCGCUCGAUGCCAUAGCUCACCCACCCCGAGUUGUGCCACCCUCUUCUAGCCGGAGGUGCCGCCGUCGCCGCUGUCGAGGACAUCUUAAUAUUAAACAAUAAGUAUUAUAUUCAUCAAGAGAGUUUCCUCGCUAUGUGGUGUUCACAUUUGUUCUCUCCAAGAUCAUGUAGCGGUGUGAUUAUUUUUUGCAGUUUCCCUAAUUACCCUUUUCUCUUAUUCUAGCUUCUAUAUUGUUGUGUUCACAACACUGGAGGGAUCUUACUGAAGGAAGAUUUAAUAAUAGGUAGAGUUUCCGUACUUACUGAUUAUAUAUAUUGACAUAUGACCAUAACUGAACAAUGUUGAGUUAUCUUCUAAAUUGGCAUGGAUUUUUUUCUGCUAAAAACAUUUUCCUAUGAUAUUUUGCAAUUUCCAUGUUUCGAUUGAGCUUGUUAUGAUUUAUCGGUAAGUCCUCUCUCAGCUUUUAGAUUUGUGCUUAGAUUGUUGUAUAUAAGCCAAAAUGAAUCUAUAAUAAGGGAAAUAAUCUGACUAAGCUUACUGUAUGAAUGAAACUGAAGAGUGAAGUGAUAUUUCUUUCUACCAUUGCGUAGCUUUACCAUCACCGAUCCAGGUUAAGUGUAUAAUUUGUUUUUCUAUGCAUUAUUCGGAUACAAAGGAUUCAAGCUGUAAAAAAUAUGCAGUGGAUUCAAGGUUAUGCAGAACAUUAUCGCAAGCUAGCAUUUCCUGUGAAAAGAAGACAAUUAUCUAGAACACGAUUAAUUUGUAGAAAAAAUGCUGAUAGGUAAAUCUAGAUGACCAGCCGACAGAAACUUUACCAGGUUGUUUAUUUGUAUGAGUUACAAUCUAUGUUUCUCAUUUGAUGUUAUAGAAAAUGUUCUGAUGGACUCAUUGUUUUUGCUAUCUUGGCCUAUGUGUUCAUCGCAAGUUGUUAGAUUUGUCUAUAGGGUUUACCAUGUGCAUUCAUUUUGAUCACUUUCAUCAAAUUGCCUUUCUACCAUUCAAAUUCUUAACAAUGUGAAUUUUCUUCAUGCUGAUGGAUUGGCCAACUUGUUUUCUGCAUCUAUGCGAUUGCCGAUGGAGCGAACAAAUUUUUGCUACACUAUGAAGUUUCUUUAUCUGGUACGUUGAGAAGAUGUGAGAUUGCAUUGUCUUCUUGUUAUUAGGGAGACAUGGACUUCCCGACAGUUCGAACUUAGGGUUUCAAUUUUGUAGUCCAAAUAUGAUCUCCUGACCAGACUGGAAUAAGCCUCUUUGUUUUGUUUUCAUUUUCGCAGCCCCAAGAGAAGUGCAGAAAUGGGUGUUGUGUUCCAUGAACACUUGAAAUAAUUCAGUUCUGGUUUCUAUCAAUAUAUUGUUUGUACUGCAUAUAUAUUAUUUUUAGCUACGCAAUUUCCUUCGACAGGCAAAGACUUGUCUAUUAGUAUCUUUUGUAUUUGAUGGAAUGUUGUAACGAGACAAAACCUUCGAGGCAAGAAACAGGGAACAACAAGCUUGAUAGUAUUGUACAUUUUUUUUAUCACUGGAAAUUUAUAUGUACUCAUUAUAUAGCUGGAAAACCGAAUGAAAAUUAAUAUGUGCAACAUUAUUUUUGCAUUAAU